Humulus lupulus (European hop) is the source of this 5554-nucleotide RNA transcript. RefSeq lists it as uncharacterized. The transcript has 14 exons. Lineage: Eukaryota; Viridiplantae; Streptophyta; Magnoliopsida; Rosales; Cannabaceae. The record is from RefSeq and is a predicted model, not a curated record.
AAAGUAUCAAGCCCAAAUAAGGAAAUUCGCAACAAUAUUUCUUUUUUAAAAAAUAAAAUACUAAUGAUAAUUAACGGACUUCAUCGUUACUUAAUUUACUUUCUCACUUCUCAGAUAUUUUGAUUUCUUUUCCUCCUCAGCUCAUCCCCGAAACAAUAAGAAAGAAAAAACCCUAACCCUAGAUUUCGUCUAUCACGAACUCCAUGGCUAGCGAAGCCCAGGGCUCGCAAAAGCACCGUCGUUCGUCCUCCGACGACGAGGAGAAGUCUUUGAAGCGUCACAAGCAUCGCCACCAUCACCGCAGCCACCACCGCCAUCGCCACAGCAGCCGAAAGCGCGGAGAGGAGACAAAAUCAGCCGCCGAUGGUAAUGGAAUUCCUCCUACUCCUCCCGUUGUGAUUGAGAAUUCUCGACCCGAUGAAGAUGUGGAAGAAGGGGAAAUUCUUGACGAGGAGGGAGGUCUCACUGGCGCUGUUGAUGGAGUUGCGGAGAAGAGAGCGGAGUCUGAUGUUGAGUCUGGUGAAAUUGAAGCCGUUGGAGAUCGCGAUCAAUCGGAUAAACGAAAUCUGGGUCAAGAUAAUGACAAUGACUCUCCGUAUUCUGAAGCAAGUAUGCUAGUAAAAGAGACUAUGGGGAGCAGUGCUAGAAAUUCUAGAUCAUCGAAGGAUCAGGCUGUUGACAAGUUGGAUCCUAUGUUAUGGGGAAAAGCAGAUGAAACUCAUCAAAGUGAGGCUAGUUUGCGUAGAAAUUUGACUAUUGACCCUCGUGAUGAUCCUAGAGAUGAAUUAGUUUUCAGAGUUAAGUCAGGCAAUGGUGUAAAUGGGACAUUGAACUCUCGAUCUCACAGAGAGGAAAAUAGACGGGGCAGAGAAUCUGGGUCCCCUUUAAAAAAGAGUGAUGAGAAAAAAGUUUUCUAUGAUGGUGGAAAUAUGGGGGUUGACCGUAAGAGCAAGACCUUGAUGCAUUCAUCUUCGCAUGAUAGCUGCCGUGAUGAUAUAUAUCGUAGAGGAAGAUCAAGGUCAUAUGACCGUGGAAGAGAGAGGUCUCGUUCCCGUAGUGUCAUGGAAGAGGAUGCCCUCCCCAAAAGGAGACACAGCCACACUGAUAAAAGUGACAUUGCAUACACCCAUAAUGGUGAGAGGACAGGUCGAGGUCAUGAUUUUAAAGAUCUGGAGAAAGAUGAUGACAGGGAACAAAGUAUAGGUUAUAGUAGCAGACAUGUUGGAGUGGAUGACAGACGUCACAGCCGAGAGAGGAAGACUAGAGAGGGGAGUAGGGAGAGGGAGGUAGAAAGAGAUUGGACAAGGGAAAAAGAAAGGGCAAGGAGCAGAGACAGAGAGAUAGACAGGGAUCGAAGAAGAGAGAAAGAACGAGAAAGAAGUAGAGACUGGGAUUUGGAAAGGGAUAGGAGAAGGGAAAGGGGAAGAGAUAGAAGUAGAGAAAGAGACAUGGAGAGGGACAGGAAAAGAGAGAAGGAGAGAGAUAGGAGCAGAAUUGUUGAUAGAAGUAGAGAUAGUGAUAGGGAAAGAGACAGGUACACUGAUAGGGUUAUGGAGCGGAAUCAGGAGAGGCGCGAUGAUGGGAAUAGAGAUAAGGGCAGGGACAAGGAGAGGGACAAAUAUGAAAGUCUUGAAGACAUUUAUGGUGAACGGGAUAGGUACAGACAUUCCAGGAGCUCUAGACAUGAUGAAAAGGAUUAUGUAAAAGACAAAGCAGAAAAAAAUGAUUCAGAAAUGGCUAACAGUUUAAAAAAUGGCUCUUCAGUGGUGGGUAAGAACUCGUUUAAGAGAGAUGAAGAUGGACAAGACGAUUAUGAAGAUGGGCCCACACUGCAACUUGCUGAAGAAGAGGAAGAUCUCAACAGAAUUAAGGAGGAGAGUCGAAGACGAAGGCAAGCAAUCUUAGAAAAGUACAAGAUUCAGCCUGUACAGCAACAAACUGAGUUAAAGGCUGAAUCAGAUGUGGAGAAAGAUAAAGAGCCUGCAGAUCAUCCAGGUCCAUCAACAGCCCUUUCCAACAUUCGUCAAGAUAGUGUGGAUGGUAGUGCCAAUGGCACUGAUAUCUUUGGUGCUGAGCCAUCAUUUACUGUGGGGAAAUCACCUCCCAAUGGAGUUGCUACUUCUUGUGGCAAUUUUGUUGAUGGAGGACUUGGAGAGGGUUCUCCAAAGAGUGAGAGAUCAGAAGGAAUGUUUUGUGAUGAUAUUUUUGGCGAGACACCAACUGGAAUUCGAAAAACUGGCAAAGGUGGUGUGCGGGUUGAAAGGAGUGGUCUUCAUGAUAAUUGGGAUGAUGCCGAGGGUUACUACAGCUACAGAUUUGGAGAAUUACUUGAUGGUAGAUAUGAGAUUACUGCAGCCCAUGGCAAAGGUGUGUUUUCAACCGUAGUUAGAGCAAAGAAUGUCAAAGCUAGUAAUGGUGAACCAGAAGAAGUGGCAAUAAAAAUAAUACGCAGUAAUGAUACCAUGUACAAGGCUGGUAUGACUGAGCUGGUCAUAUUAAAGAAAUUAGUUGGUCAAGAUCCAGAUAACAAGCGUCACUGUGUUCGUUUUUUAUCAAAUUUCAAGUACCGGAAUCAUCUUUGUCUAGUUUUUGAAUCCCUUCAUAUGAAUCUGCGUGAGGUUUUAAAGAAGUUUGGACGCAAUAUUGGUCUUAAGCUGACUGCUGUUAGAGCCUAUGCCAAGCAACUUUUUAUUGCGCUGAAGCAUCUAAAAAAUUGUGGUGUUCUUCAUUGUGAUAUCAAGCCUGACAAUAUGCUGGUAAAUGAAGCAAAAAAUGUGCUGAAACUUUGUGAUUUUGGUAAUGCUAUGUUUGCUGGCAAAAAUGAAAUCACACCUUACCUUGUUAGCCGCUUUUAUCGUGCUCCUGAAAUAAUUCUUGGGUUGCCUUAUGAUCAUCCACUGGAUAUAUGGUCUGUAGGUUGCUGUUUAUACGAGCUUUAUACAGGAAAAGUUCUUUUUCCAGGUGCUACAAAUAAUGACAUGUUGCGACUUCACAUGGAAUUGAAAGGCCCUUUUCCAAAAAAGAUGCUACGGAAGGGAGGUUUUACUGAUCAACAUUUUGAUCAAGAUUUGAACUUUCAUGCUACAGAAGAGGAUCCUGUUACAAAAAAGACUAUCAACCGAUUGAUUCUCAACAUAAAGCCAAAAGAUAUUGGGUCAAUUAUUUUGGGUUCUCCUGGUGAGGAUCCAAAGAUGUUGGCUGACUUUAAAGAUCUUCUAGAUAAAAUGUUUGUUUUGGAUCCAGAUAAGAGGUUGACUGUAUCACAGGCACUGAGCCAUCCAUUCAUCACUGGCAAGUGAACCCUGUUGCUGAUUUUCUCACUCAAGAUUCCUGUUCAGCUAGAUAUUUGUAGAUUAUGACCUAAUUCAUGUUCAUUUCUAAUCAUUGGGCAUUAUGUCUUCUCUAUUAUGGCAUGAGAGCUUGACACAGCUUGGCAUCGCUGAAGUCAAAAGGGGUGAUGUUUGGUUGAGGAGUACUCAUUUUGGCUGGUUCUUUCAGUGGAGUGUACUGUUUCUAUUGAUGUCUUCUGCUGCUUUUGGGGCAACCCUUCAGUGCUUAGAUGCUUUAAAGGCACCCGGGAGAAGGUACCUUGGUUUGUUUAUUGGGAGAUUGUGGUGGCACUAUUGAAAGAAGAUAUUAUUAUUAUUAUCUUUCCUGUUCUUUGUUUGUUCUGAUCUAGUAGCAGUUUUUUGGCCUAUAGAAGUUAAAGUCCUAAGAUAUUUUCUUCCUUUUUGUGUGUUUUUUGAUGGCUUGUUUCACAGGUAGUUCUUUAAAUGGUCGGCUGUUUUUGAUACUCAUUAGGUAGUUUUAAAGUAAUUACGUGCAUCUUUAUCCUGGAAUAUGUUUGUUGAGUAUAUGUUGUAGAUAGUGGCCAUUAUAUUCUCAAUUCCACCAAUAUUCAAUCCCUUUUAGUUUGUCUUCCAAUAAACUUGAUUUUCCUAUCACUCAAAUUUAGAUGUCAGUCUCAGUUGUUUUUCCAUCUUUAUUUUUCUUUUCUUGCCUUUGCUCAAUUACAUAUCCUAAUGAAAGUGCCUUACAUCUGAUCCCCAUGGUGUGGUCAAUUUGGAGGCACGUGCAUUGGAGGCGUGUGGCUACUGCACUGAUGUUCGAGUUGUGGGUAUGCCCCAUGUGCGUGCAACACUUUGUAAGUUUAUUCAACCAUAAUUCUUCAUGCAUUAUUUUGAUUUGAAGUGUGUGAUUUGAAGUCAUCCUUGAUCAUAUUAGUGUAAUCAUAACUUGUGUAGAAAAGUUUUUUAAGUAUCAAUUUAGGUGUGUGUGGAAGUAGUAGAUUUUUUUAUCUAUCUAGCGUGAGGAGAUGUAGAAAACUUUAGGCUGUAAUUAGUUCACAUUGUAUUUGUUUUUUAGGAGUAGGUAAUUCGAUGAGUAGAGAAGACCCGGAAGGAUAGAUAGUUUUGUCAAACUCAUGGUUUACUACCACCAAGUUUGAUAUUUGAUCUUUGUGUAGACCUAUCUAGUAUUAUGUCAAGUCUCUUGCCUUUUAAAAAACCAUAAGGUUUAGUUGAGUCUGUUAAGACUAUAUUGUUUAUUCCUAUGAAGUCUGUGGGAUUUGAUUCCUUCUAGGGGACCUACCUAGCGAUGUGCUGGUCUGGUCGCCUUUUAACAAAAAAAAGAGAAUAUAGUGUUUAACUGAUCGACAAGUAUUGAUAAAGGAAGAUUGUGGUUCAUUUACAAGAAGUUAUUUGACGUAAAUAUACAAAAUAUACAGGUCUUUUUUCUUUGGUUUCUAAACUUUUGUAUGGUUAUGGAAAAGCUGUGAUUAUGGUCAAUUGAUUAUGUGUUUCACUAAACAGGUAGAUGUUUUUUUUUGCUAUUAUUAAACUUGGCUGUUUAAAUGAAACUUACUUUAGUGUUUUUUUUUUCACUCUGUUGAAGCUUGUAGGCAUUCUUUUAUUUUUCAUUUUUUUUUAUAGAGAUAAAUUAGAUGUGAUUAAAUGAUCAAUUCCACCAUUCAAGUAAAUGGCAGUGUAGUGAUUUCAUAUUAUCAAAUAAUCAGAAAGAAUGUCGGCCAACAAAAUAAAUAAUUAAGAAUCAGAAAAGGGCACUAUGUGACAUAGCUGAUUUGUUUUUUUUUUUGAAAAGAGCUGAUGUCUUUUACUGUGUGUAUUUUGUUAGUGACUAGACAUUUAAUCUGGUGAUCAUUGAUCAUCACAAUUUAGAAUAAGAAAGGAUCUUGGGUGGAAAAUUUCUUAGGAACUCGAACAUUUAAGUGCAUUUCUUAAAGGGUUCUUAAAAGGUUGUACAUUAUACAUUCUUUUAAUAUGGGUGUUCAUAUAUAUGCAUGUUCGUGUUUCAAUUUUUUGUUUUGUUUCUUACAAUUCUACUUGAAUUGAUGACUGAGCAAUGCCGUCUUCAUAUGGGUUUGAGAAACUGGAUUCCCUCGUUGGUUCUCUAGAUACAUAUGUUACGUAGGACGAGUUUUUGUUUUUAUAAAAGUAAAACAAAUACAUACAGUUAUACACUGCGAGCACUCUACAUUGACAACAUACUAUUUAUGAUUGUAAAUUUUUUAAAUUAAUUUCUCCUUUCUUAUUGU